Thalassophryne amazonica is the source of this 2339-nucleotide long non-coding RNA. RefSeq lists it as uncharacterized. The transcript has 3 exons. The record is from RefSeq and is a predicted model, not a curated record. NCBI's taxonomy places the organism in Eukaryota, Metazoa, Chordata, Actinopteri, Batrachoidiformes, Batrachoididae.
GUGACUUCUAACCCUAGUUACACUAACGGUCUGUACAGCUGUUAUGAGAGGGUGAAAACACAAGGAACCUUAAUGUGUAGCUACACUUUAACCACAUUAAGACUGAACUUGUCCAAGUGCCCCAAGUGAAGGAGUUCAAGUACUUUGGUGUCUUGUUCACGAGUGAAGGGACAGUGGAGCGUCAGAUUGGCCAGCGAAUCGGCGCAGCAGGGACUGUAUUGGAUUCGCUCUACCGUACUGUAGUGACGAAAAAGGCAGCCGAACCAAAAGACUGGUCAAACUUUUUCCUACUCUCACCUAUGCUCGUGACCGAAAGAACUAGAUCACGGGUACAAGCAGCCAAAAUGGGUUUCCUCAGGGGGGUGGCUGGUGUUUCCCUUAGAGAUACGGUGAGAAGGUCAGUCAUCCGUGAGGAGCUCCAAGUGAAGAGAUUAUAUGUCCACACUGGCCUGGGAACGCCUCAGUAUCCCCCAAACAGUGGUGGUUAAUGUGGCCUGGGAAAGGGAAGUCUGGGGUUCCCGGCUGGAACUGCUGGCCCCGCGAUCUGGUCCCGGAUAAGCGGUUGAAGAUGCAUAUAUGUAACUGAACUUUAAACUCAGAAAGUUAAGUAAUUUCUCUCCACCGAAGUCUGAGUUCGGAACACAUUUGAAUUAAUAACUGUUUGACUGCAGCUGCUAAUUUUCACAAAAAGACCAACAACUGACCAAAUUCAUCAUUUGCACAAGCAUUAACGCGCUUCUUGCAUGCUAAUACCCAUGCUAGGAUUAGCAGCACACAGCUGCAUUCGUCUUCAAAAUUAAAAACUCUUGAGGACAUCCACAGAUUUAGAAAACACCCGGACUCAGAAGGUACAGAGAACUAAAGCAUGUGUCGGACUGAGACCCAAGCAAACGGAACAGGGUAAUUGUACACACGCAUGUGCGUACGUAUACAGUAGAAAUUAGAAAAUACACAAAAGAAAUAAAUAAGAAGAAAAAUAAAUUACAAAAACGACAAGGCGAUGAAGGAGCACAACAAACAGGUCCGACGGUGAGGCGGGAACUAUGAAGACUGGCUCAGUGUUCAGGAUCCGCAGGAAACAAAAACCACAAAUACUCUGAGUGAACUUCACACUCCCACAACACACUCGCUCGUUCCCGCUGCCGCCGCAGACUGCAGGUCAGCCUCAUCAGUAAAAAACAACAAACAAAACAAACACCACACACACACACGCACCCUUUAACACCAGUAGUUCAGAACUAAGGUAGGAACUGUCUUGUUGGUGACAUUUUAACCCCUUAAAAUAGAUCAAGGUUAGCCAUCUUUGAACUUGUCCAAGGUCUAUGUCCCAAGAAUGUUCCCUGUGAAUUUGAAGACUCUGGCAGUAAGAGGACUGGACUUACGCUGAGCACAGACAGAUGGAUGGAUAGAUGCAAAACCUUCGCAAUACCUGACGGCCAUAUUUUGAUGGCCUCUGGUAAUGAAGCAUUAACGACAACCAGUUCACUACAAACGACUGUUCUAACGAGUGAGCGGCGCAGAGGUUUAGCUCGGUCCAGUGAAUGAAUGUCGCCAUUUUUCCACAUGCAAUUUAUCACCUUUACCCAUUUUUCGAUUGACCAAUCCGAGAUUGCACAAAAAGCAACCCUGCAGUCAAUAGACACUGUACCACCAGAGGAUGCUGGCGUAGGAACAAAAACAGAAGAUUUCCUGAAAGAGUUCCAGCGGUGCAAAAGGUCCUGAACAGUACUGUGUUCCGACAAACUGAUCCAAAGCAGCAGCUGAAGAAUAAACAAGGCUGGUGAUGUCAGAAUGCUAACGUGUAACAGAUGCUCAAGGUUACGACGAGCAGCCCGAAGUGUGUCCCUGAGACAUCAUUAGGAUAACGAGAGAAACCUUAAUUAUGUGGAGAGGAACACGUAAUUACUAACCUGACACGCUUUCUGGAUCCACAAGUUGGACUGCGUCCAGCAAUGAAAAGUUGAGUUGCAUCUUAAACCUGUGCAGGCUGGAUUUCUCUUGGUUCCAUUUGUAGAAUGUGUAUCAAAGACGACAUUCACACACGACAUCCGUGGUUCUGCUACAAUGCCAGCGCUUUUUAGCCUGAAACAAUCCAAAUCCAGUGGCAACUGUCGGCUUUGCUGACGUAUUGGCGUUGGACGUUUUCAGAACAACUGUCAGGAUAAUAGCUCGAGUCAUUUGUAGAUAUUUUGCUUUGAGUUUGAUUUUGGUCGACUUCCAGCUGUUAUUUUGUUCUCUCGUCCAAUCACAUGCUGUCAACCUCUGAAGUGAUAGAAAACAGACUUCCAAAAAGCAGGUAGCUAUCAUGCAAGCGAGCAACCUCGCAUUAAAAAACCUUC